RNAcentral lists this ribosomal RNA (468 nucleotides) under uncultured bacterium. Its description in RNAcentral is "partial 16S ribosomal RNA". It matches the Rfam family "Bacterial small subunit ribosomal RNA", at positions 28 to 507 of the family's 1533-position model. The record is from RNAcentral.
GACGAACGCUGGCGGCGUGCUUAACACAUGCAAGUCGAACGGAAAGGCCCAGCUUAUGUGGGGUGCUCGAGAGGCGAACGGGUGAGUAACAAGUGAGUAACCUGCCCUUGACAUCGGGAUAACUACAGGAGACUGGGGCUAAUACAGGAUAGGUGCUACCGCAUCAAGGUGGGGGAUGGAAAGUUACGGCGGUUGGGGAUGUACUCGCGGCUUAUCAGCUUGUUGGUGGGGUAGUGGCUUAACAAGGCAUUGACGGGUAGCCGGCCUGAGAGGGUGACCGGGCACAUUGGGACUGAGAUACGGCCCAGACUCCUACGGGAGGCAGCAGUGGGGAAUAUUGCACAAUGGGAGGAAGCCUGAUGCAGCAACGCCGCGUGCGGGAUAACGGCCUUCGGUUUGGAAACCGCUUUUGCCUGUGACGAAGAGUGAGUGACGGUAAUGGGUAAAGAAGCACCGGCUAACUACGUG